AACGAACGCUGGCGGCAGGCUUAACACAUGCAAGUCGAACGCGUGUACGCAAUACACGAGUGGCGCACGGGUGAGUAACGCGUGGAUAUCUGCCUUUUGGUCGGAAUAACCCCGGGAACUGGGGCUAAUACCGGAUGGGUUCCUUCGGGAUAAAGAUUUAUCGACCAAAAGAUGAGUCCGCGUAACGAUUAGCUAGUUGGUGAGGUAACUGGCCU
Molecule: ribosomal RNA, 215 nt
Filed under: uncultured bacterium
Lineage: Bacteria
Description: partial 16S ribosomal RNA
Rfam family: Bacterial small subunit ribosomal RNA
Source: RNAcentral